This is a long non-coding RNA of Mustela erminea (ermine), 465 nucleotides long. RefSeq lists it as uncharacterized. The transcript has 4 exons. The record is from RefSeq and is a predicted model, not a curated record. NCBI's taxonomy places the organism in Eukaryota, Metazoa, Chordata, Mammalia, Carnivora, Mustelidae.
UCCUGGGACCUCCCAAAUUCUCAAGCAGCAGCUUUUUUGUUUGCUAUACCCUACUGAGGACUCAUGGUCCAAGACUGUAGACACUGAGCGCUCCUCAGACUCCCGCACCGCCCGGAAACCUUUGUGAGAUGUGACAAAAUCCAGACCACAGAGCUCUGAGAGUGGGGGCCUUUUGUCAUCAUCUGCAUGACAGACCCGGCAGAGCCAUGACUAACUCGGGAGCUCCCGCCACCUUCCCUCCUGCAGUUGUUCUCUAUGAUGGAAAGGGGCUUGCUUCGUCCUAGAGCAAAGAAGGCGGCCCCCAGGGUGAGCUCAGAGCUCGCAGCGCUGGGCUGGCUUGACGGACAGACAGUGAAACAGGACCAGAGGACGCACCACCAGGCUGAGCUCCUUCCCAGCUCUUCGCUGCUGCAGGGCAACAGGAGUAAUCUCUACACCCAACGUGAGGCUUCGAAGGCCCGAAGC